RNAcentral lists this ribosomal RNA (433 nucleotides) under uncultured bacterium. RNAcentral describes it as "partial 16S ribosomal RNA". It matches the Rfam family "Bacterial small subunit ribosomal RNA", at positions 32 to 507 of the family's 1533-position model. The record is from RNAcentral.
AGCCAACGCUGGCGGCAGGCCUAACACAUGCAAGUCGAACGAACUCUUCGGAGUUAGUGGCGGACGGGUGAGUAACACGUGGGAACGUGCCUUUUGGUUCGGAAUAACUCAGGGAAACUUGUGCUAAUACCGAAUGUGCCCUUCGGGGGAAAGAUUUAUCGCCAUUAGAGCGGCCCGCGUCUGAUUAGCUAGUUGGUGAGGUAACGGCUCACCAAGGCGACGAUCAGUAGCUGGUCUGAGAGGAUGACCAGCCACACUGGGACUGAGACACGGCCCAGACUCCUACGGGAGGCAGCAGUGGGGAAUCUUGCGCAAUGGGCGAAAGCCUGACGCGGCCAUGCCGCGUGAAUGAUGAAGGUCUUAGGAUUGUAAAAUUCUUUCACCGGGGACGAUAAUGACGGUACCCGGAGAAGAAGCCCCGGCUAACUUCGUG